RNAcentral lists this ribosomal RNA (468 nucleotides) under uncultured bacterium. RNAcentral's name for it is "partial 16S ribosomal RNA". It matches the Rfam family "Bacterial small subunit ribosomal RNA", at positions 28 to 507 of the family's 1533-position model. The record is from RNAcentral.
GACGAACGCUGGCGGCGUGCUUAACACAUGCAAGUCGAACGGAAAGGCCCUGCUUUUGUGGGGUGCUCGAGCGGCGAACGGGUGAGUAACACGUGAGUAACCUGCCCUUGACCUUGGGAUAACUUCAGGAAACUGGGGCUAAUACCGGAUAGGAGCUCCUGCUGCAUGGUGGGGGUUGGAAAGUUUCGGCGGUUGGGGAUUGACUCGCGGCUUAUCAGCUUGUUGGUGGGGUAGUGGCUUACCAAGGCUUUGACGGGUAGCCGGCCUGAGAGGGUGACCGGCCACAUUGGGACUGAGAUACGGCCCAGACUCCUACGGGAGGCAGCAGUGGGGAAUAUUGCACAAUGGGCGGAAGCCUGAUGCAGCAACGCCGCGUGCGGGAUGACGGCCUUCGGGUUGUAAACCGCUUUCGCCUGUGACGAAGCGUGAGUGACGGUAAUGGGUAAAGAAGCACCGGCUAACUACGUG